AGAGUUUGAUCCUGGCUCAGGAUGAACGCUGGCGGCGUGCUUAACACAUGCAAGUCGAACGAAGCUUGUCUUUUUAAUCUUCGGAAGCGAGAGAUAAGACUGAGUGGCGGACGGGUGAGUAACGCGUGGGGGACCUGCCUUAUACUGAGGGAUAGCAGUUGGAAACGACUGGUAAAACCGCAUAAGCGCACAGUAUCGCAUGGUACAGUGUGAAAAACUCCGGUGGUAUAAGAUGGCCCCGCGUCUGAUUAGGCAGUUGGUGAGGUAACGGCCCACCAAACCGACGAUCAGUAGCCGACCUGAGAGGGUGACCGGCCACAUUGGGACUGAGACACGGCCCAGACCCCUACGGGAGGCAGCAGUGGGGAAUAUUGCACAAUGGAGGGAACUCUGAUGCAGCGACGCCGCGUGAGUGAAGAAGUAUUUCGGUAUGUAAAGCUCUUUCGGCAGGGAAGAUAAUGACGGUACCUGCAGAAGAAGCACCGGCUAAAUACGUGCCAGCAGCCGCGGUAAUACGUAUGGUGCAAGCGUUAUCCGGAUUUACUGGGUGUAAAGGGGGCGCAGGUGGCUGUGCAAGUCAGAAGUGAAAGCCCGGGGCUCAACCCCGGGACUGCUUUUGAAACUGUGCAGCUAGAGUGCAGGAGAGGUGAGUGGAAUUCCCAGUGUAGCGGUGAAAUGCGGAGAUAUUGGGAAGAACACCAGUGGCGAAGGCGGCUCACUGGACUGUAACUGACACUGAGGCCCGAAAGCGUGGGGAGCGAACAGGAUUAGAUACCCUGGUAGUCCACGCUGUAAACGAUGAAUACUAGGUGUUGGGUGGCCAAGCCAUUCAGUGCCGACGCAAACGCAAUAAGUAUUCCACCUGGGGAGUACGUUCGCAAGAAUGAAACUCAAAGGAAUUGACGGGGACCCGCACAAGCGGUGGAGCAUGUGGUUUAAUUCGAAGCAACGCGAAGAACCUUACCAGAUCUUGAAAAUGUGGAGAGAUCCCUGUAAUGGGGACAACUCGAUGAAGCAGCUAGGUGGUGCAUGGUUGUCGUCAGCUCGUGUCGUGAGAUGUUGGGUUAAGUCCCGCAACGAGCGCAACCCUUGUCCUCAGUAGCCAGCGGCCAGGCCGGGCACUCUGAGGAGACCGCCAGGGAUAACCUGGAGGAAGAUGGGGAUGACGUCAAAUCAUCAUGCCCCUUUACGAUCUGGGCCACACACGUGCUACAAUGGCGUAACAAAGAGAAGCAAGAGGGCGACCUUAAGCGAAUCUCAAAAAUAACGUCUCAGUUCGGACUGCAGUCUGAAACCCGACUGCACGAAGCUGGAAUCGCUAGUAAUCGCAGAUCAGCAUGCUGCGGUGGAUACGUUCCCGGGUCUUGUACACACCGCCCGUCACACCAUGGGAGUCGGAAAUGCCCGAAGCCGGUGGCCCAACCCGCAAGGGAAGGAGCCGUCGAAGGCAGGUCCGGUAACUGGGGUGAAGUCGUAACAAGGUAGCCGUAUCGGAAGGUGCGGCUGGAUCACCUCCUU
Molecule: ribosomal RNA, 1518 nt
Filed under: uncultured bacterium
Lineage: Bacteria
Description: bacterial SSU rRNA
Rfam family: Bacterial small subunit ribosomal RNA
Source: RNAcentral